Molecule: ribosomal RNA, 497 nt
Filed under: uncultured bacterium
Lineage: Bacteria
Description: partial 16S ribosomal RNA
Rfam family: Bacterial small subunit ribosomal RNA
Source: RNAcentral
GACGAACGCUGGCGGCGUGCCUAAUACAUGCAAGUAGAACGCUGAAGAGAGGGGCUUGCUCUUCUUGGAUGAGUUGCGAACGGGUGAGUGACGCGUAGGUAACCUGCCUUGUAGCGGGGGAUAACUAUUGGAAACGAUAGCUAAUACCGCAUAACAAUGGAUGACACAUGUCAUUUAUUUGAAAGGGGCAAUUGCUCCACUACAAGAUGGACCUGCGUUGUAUUAGCUAGUAGGUGAGGUAAUGGCUCACCUAGGCGACGAUACAUAGCCGACCUGAGAGGGUGAUCGGCCACACUGGGACUGAGACACGGCCCAGACUCCUACGGGAGGCAGCAGUAGGGAAUCUUCGGCAAUGGGGGCAACCCUGACCGAGCAACGCCGCGUGAGUGAAGAAGGUUUUCGGAUCGUAAAGCUCUGUUGUAAGUCAAGAACGGGUGUGAGAGUGGAAAGUUCACACUGUGACGGUAGCUUACCAGAAAGGGACGGCUAACUACGUG